Molecule: long non-coding RNA, 636 nt
Filed under: Capra hircus (goat)
Lineage: Eukaryota; Metazoa; Chordata; Mammalia; Artiodactyla; Bovidae
Description: lncRNA (ENSCHIG00010029962.1)
Source: RNAcentral
AUGCAGGUCAAUUCCNNNNNNNNNNNNCAAGAUUCUGCAGCUGUGAGGUUAUGCGAUGUUGUUAAGGUCUCCCAUGUGCCACCAGCAGGGGCUGCAACAGGAAGCCAGAUGGUCCAGCCCCAGAGCCCGGGUUCCUUACUCCAACUCUCAACACCCGCUGCAGUUUUCUGUUCAAGCCCCACCAUUAUGGCAAGAGGUGAGACCUCAGAGACCAGGGGAGUCAACCCAACUCAGAAGUGCUCCCCGGGAAAUGCAGGCGGGGCUGGGGGGUGGACUGUCUGCUGUGUCCAUGCCCACAUGCUUCCCUCUGGGUCCACUGUGUUGGUGGCCCUGGUCUGGGUGGGGGUUGUGCCUCUUGAAACCUACAGGCUCUGUGGACACGGUCGGGGGUGGAGGGGGGGGCAGGAAGCGGGAACUGGGGCGGAGCUACCAGGAGCUCAGUUUGGUCUCAGGACAUUCUUUCUUCACAGCCAGACUCAGCUCUGUGUGCCUUUUGAAAGGCAGCAGAGAAUAUCUGUGCUCAGCCCAACGAGGCUGGCCUCUUUCAACCUUCCCCUUGCUGCCAUUUCCAAUUACAACUUCAGAGGCGCCUGUAAUUUAUACAUCUCAGGAUGCACUGCUCCAGCUGCUUUAUGA